RNAcentral lists this small RNA (67 nucleotides) under Sediminibacillus halophilus. RNAcentral describes it as "Bacillaceae-1 RNA". It matches the Rfam family "Bacillaceae-1 RNA". The record is from RNAcentral. Lineage: Bacteria; Bacillati; Bacillota; Bacilli; Caryophanales; Bacillaceae.
UUUAAAGGAGUACAGGCUAAAUCCGCCACGUCCUGUGGCAACGCCUGCAUGACCCACCUCCUGUGGG